UACGUAGGUGGCAAGCGUUGUCCGGAUUUAUUGGGUUUAAAGGGUGCGUAGGCGGCCUAUUAAGUCAGUGCUGAAAUAUCCCGGCUUAACCGGGAGGGUGGCAUUGAUACUGAUGGGCUUGAGUAGAGUUGAGGUUGGCGGAAUUGACGGUGUAGCGGUGAAAUGCUUAGAUAUCGUCAAGAACACCUAUUGCGAAGGCAGCUAACUAAGCUCAAACUGACGCUGAGGCACGAAAGUGUGGGGAGCAAACAGG
This 253-nucleotide ribosomal RNA is filed under the name uncultured bacterium. RNAcentral describes it as "partial 16S ribosomal RNA". It matches the Rfam family "Bacterial small subunit ribosomal RNA", at positions 524 to 776 of the family's 1533-position model. The record is from RNAcentral.